AUACUUGACUGGCAGGGGAGACACCAUGAUCAGGAAGGUGAUUUUCCCAGGGCGAGGCUCAUCCAUUGCAUUGCAGGUGUGCUGACCCCUGCGAUUUCCCCAAAUGCGGGAAACUCGACUGCAUAAUUUGUGGUAGUGGGGGACUGCAUUCACACUCUCCCUUG
RNAcentral lists this small nuclear RNA (164 nucleotides) under Echinops telfairi (small Madagascar hedgehog). RNAcentral's name for it is "U1 spliceosomal RNA (ENSETEG00000021523.1)". It matches the Rfam family "U1 spliceosomal RNA". From Rfam's summary of the family: U1 is a small nuclear RNA (snRNA) component of the spliceosome (involved in pre-mRNA splicing). Its 5' end forms complementary base pairs with the 5' splice junction, thus defining the 5' donor site of an intron. There are significant differences in sequence and secondary structure between metazoan and yeast U1 snRNAs, the latter being much longer (568 nucleotides as compared to 164 nucleotides in human). The record is from RNAcentral. Lineage: Eukaryota; Metazoa; Chordata; Mammalia; Afrosoricida; Tenrecidae.